RNAcentral lists this ribosomal RNA (342 nucleotides) under uncultured bacterium. RNAcentral describes it as "bacterial SSU rRNA". It matches the Rfam family "Bacterial small subunit ribosomal RNA", at positions 28 to 369 of the family's 1533-position model. The record is from RNAcentral.
GAUGAACGCUAGCGGCAGGCCUAAUACAUGCAAGUCGGACGGGAUUUAGGAGCUUGCUUCUAAUGAGAGUGGCGCACGGGUGCGUAACACGUAUGUAACCUACCUUCAUCAGGGGGAUAGCCUCUCGAAAGAGAGAUUAACACCGCAUAACAUCAUAGAGCAGCAUUGCUUAGUGAUCAAAUAUUUAUAGGAUGAAGAUGGGCAUGCGGGACAUUAGCUAGAUGGUGAGGUAACGGCUCACCAUGGCGACGAUGUCUAGGGGAUCUGAGAGGAUGACCCCCCACACUGGUACUGAGACACGGACCAGACUCCUACGGGAGGCAGCAGUAAGGAAUAUUGGUC